AGAGAGAGACAUGCGCGCAUAUCAAUAAGCGGAGGAAAAGAAACUAACAAGGAUUCCCCUAGUAACGGCGAGUGAAGCGGGAAGAGCUCAAAUUUGAAAUCUUAAAGGGUUUCCCUUUACGAAUUGUAGUUUAAAGAAGUGUUUUCUGUUGAGGUUUUGGUAAAAGUUCUUUGGAAUAGGACAUCAUAGAGGGUGAGAAUCCCGUAUUUGACCUUUACUUUCAACUUUGUGAUACACUUUCAAAGAGUCGGAUUGUUUGGGAAUGCAGUCCAAAAUGGGUGGUAAAUUUCAUCUAAAGCUAAAUAUUGGCGAGAGACCGAUAGCGAACAAGUACCGUGAGGGAAAGAUGAAAAGAACUUUGAAAAGAGAGUUAAACAGUACGUGAAAUUGUCAAAAGGGAAGCGUUUGACACCAGUGUUGUUUUUCUGAAAAUCAAUUAAAGAACUGUUUAUGCUAAGUUGUUUAGACUUUAUCAGCUAACUGUUUAGUUUCGAGCUUUUCUUUAAUGCACUUUUCAGUUAACAAGUCAACAUCAAUUUCUUUUGCUGUAAAAAAGCUUGAGGAAGGUGGCUUGAGAUUCGUCUUAAGUGUUUAUAGCCUCUUGCCUAUGCAGUCGGAGAGAUUGAGGUCUGCAGCGUAGAUCCUUCGGGGCUAAAUGCAUUUGUGCUAAGUUAUAGCAUUUUAUAGACAACUUGUUGACUAUGAUUUGUCUUGUAGCUUACUCGCUUAUGUUAUUUUACCUACGCUUAGGAUGUUGAGCGCAUGUCUCUCUCU
This 774-nucleotide ribosomal RNA is filed under the name uncultured Neocallimastigales. RNAcentral's name for it is "partial large subunit ribosomal RNA". It matches the Rfam family "Eukaryotic large subunit ribosomal RNA", at positions 23 to 616 of the family's 3401-position model. The record is from RNAcentral. Lineage: Eukaryota; Fungi; Neocallimastigomycota; Neocallimastigomycetes; Neocallimastigales.